Molecule: unclassified non-coding RNA, 240 nt
Filed under: soil metagenome
Description: partial contains 5.8S ribosomal RNA, internal transcribed spacer 2, and large subunit ribosomal RNA
Source: RNAcentral
AACGAGGCCGACCUGCGGCUGAGUUACCUGCGGAGGGAUCAUUACAGAGUUCAUGCCCUCACGGGUAGAUCUCCCACCCUUGUGUAUUUAUACCUUUGUUGCUUUGGCAGGCCGCCUGGGUUCGCGCCUGGCCACCGGCUCUCGGGCUGGUGCGUGCCUGCCAGAGGAUCUCCCAACUCUAGUUAUCAGUGUUGUCUGAGUACGAUACAAUCGUUAAAACUUUUAACAACGGAUCUCAGA